GGGCGGCACAGCGGGAAGCCAGGUGGUGACACCGAGCAGAACCGAAAGCCGUUCUCAGUUCGGAUCGGAGUCUGCAACCCGACUCCGUGAAGCUGGAUUCGCUAGUAAUCGCGCAUCAGCCAUGGCGCGGUGAAUACGUUCCCGGGCCUUGUACACACCGCCCGUCAAGCCAUGGAAGCCGGGGGCGCUUGAAGUGCGUUGCCGCAAGGCGCGCCCUAGAGCGAAACCGGUGACUGGGGCUAAGUCGUAACAAGGUACC
This 259-nucleotide ribosomal RNA is filed under the name uncultured bacterium. RNAcentral describes it as "partial 16S ribosomal RNA". It matches the Rfam family "Bacterial small subunit ribosomal RNA", at positions 1232 to 1500 of the family's 1533-position model. The record is from RNAcentral.